CUUGUCUCUCAGUGUCGACGCGAUUCAGUGUUGAUGGAAAUUUUGCUACGUUUCGUCAACGUGAAUCUCGAGCGUUACCUUCAUCUAAUCGCCGCGUAUUAAACUAGCAACAAAAACAAACACACAGAGUGAGCUCCGUGAAGAUUGCAUUUUCAUGCGCUUCUACAUUUGUCGUCGUUGUCAUGUUUAUCCGGAGCCUACGUUACUCGCUUGGGCUUAGUGUUGUUUGUGUGUCUGCUUGCCUGCCUGUUCGCUUGGGACAGGUCUACAGCAGUGAAGGCGAAACAAAUUCGCCAUCGCUCCCCUCGGUCCGAGCCCAGCAUCGGUCUACACGGCACGUCACCCCAAAUAAACACGUUUUUGUCGCUUUUGUGUUUAUUGCCCACGCUUUGCGCUCUGCACUCGGUGUGUGUUCGUAGUUCUCUCCCUUGCUGCUCCAAGUUCACCUGUGCAUUCGCGUUCGUACAUUUUAUUUGCAUCGUUUGCGUUGUUGCAAUUGUUGUUGCCGUUACUGCUGCUGCUAACAUGCAGUCUUAGCCUUCUCGGUAGGGCUGCUGUUGCUGUUGUUUUUGCUGCUGCUACUGCUGAGUUUUGUGUUUUGUGCAACAGUGCAGCUUGUCUUCUACAUAAACUGCAAUAAAAUACAUGUUCAUGUAUGCGUUAAAAUAAAUAAAUAUAAUAUGAAGUGUUCCUUUGUGAAGCUUAAUCAAAUAAUUGUCAUUUCUGCUGUCAUUCGUCGCAAGUGUUUCUUAUACAAAUAACCUAUAUACAAAUGUGGAUGCAAUAAAGGAAAUAAGUAAUUAUAAUGAAGUGUGCUUAAAACUUCAAACAAACUGACUACAACAACACACGCAUCUUGGAUUAAAUGAAAUAAGUCUGCUAUAACUACAGUUAUAUAUUUCUUGACUGUUGAAAAAAAUUAUAACUCAAAUCAAAUAAAUAAAAUACACCAUUCUACAAUAUAUUGGAAGAUGUAAAUUCCAAAACAAAAUAAGUGAACCUCAACAUCAUAUCAGCUAAAAGAAGAGCACGCCUGCCAAUAAAUAAUAACAAAAAAUUACAAAGACACCGGAGAAUGCAAGUUAAACGCAGGCGCAUAAACUAGCCAAAUAAUCGAAAAAUUAAAUAAACUGUUGCACAUCGAAGUUGUGUGCAAUUUUGCAAUUAUCACUUUUCAUUUCCACCCACGGCGCGCAGCAAGAGCCAAACAAAACGCGUUGCCAUAUCAGAAGUAAACGACAAACAUACAAAAAGACAACACGUUUGCACGCAUAUGAUGAAAGAUUGUGUAUAUAAAAGUGUUAUGUGUGUGUGUGUGUGAUUGUUGGUUGCUGAUUGCAGCGCCAAAAAAUAAAACUGCACGAAGAAAUUGCCAAUAAUUCGCUCACUUGAGGCAUUACAGCGUCAUCAGCAGUGCUUCAGUAGACCACAGUUAAAAACUAGAAAUAAAUAUACUAUUCGGUAUAGUGGUUGUUGCGUUGUUCAUGCUGUUCUUGUUGCUGUCGCUGUCGCUGUCAGCGUACACGCAUUUCGCACCAUAUUUGGCCGCUCGCACACAUCCUGUUGCAUCGCAUCGCCGCAGUUUAGCUGAUUGCAUCGCAUUACAAUUUUAAAUCAACUACACGGAUUUCUUUCGCUCAAAAGGGACUAUCCUCAUCAUCACAUGCCAUGGCAACCAUUUCCACAUCAUACAUGACUGCACAUAUUCCAACAACUCCUGCAGAUGUGUCUUUAAUACCAUCUUACAACAACAAGUCGGUAGAAGAUUUGCUCGACGAGUGUUUCCAAAUUGGAUAUUCUCGUUGCAACACUGGGUUAGUUUGUCAAUCUAUCUGCAAAAAGAUUCCCGGCAGUUGCAGUGAUACAGUAAAUGCUAAAGUAAAAUAUUGUAAUGAUGCUGUUAUUAUAAGAACUUCAAUUAUUGUAUUAACAAAUAAUGUUGUUUUUCCAAAAGAUUCUGCUUUUAGACCUACAACUACAUUCUGUUUAUAUACCUAGAUAUAUGCUAAGUUUUAUGUAAGUAUUGUAAACUAGCAAAGUUAUAGAGAUUUUCGUGAAGCAAUUUCCUUCAAGUGCUAAAAUGGAUUAUCUUCAAUGCUGAUCGGCAGAAGUAUAAAAGAGACUGAGUUCUAAAUUAGUUAAUAAAUUCUCACGUGUUAUAGCUAUAUAGUAUAACCGUGGAUGAAAAAAUGGCGCACUUAAUUCUUUCUUGAUAUAAAAAAAUAAUUUUCAGAGCUUGCUGAUGUUAUGAAUGUUAGUGUAUCAAAUAAAAGAAUAUCAUAUAGCAAA
This is a long non-coding RNA of Bactrocera oleae (olive fruit fly), 2289 nucleotides long. RefSeq lists it as uncharacterized. The record is from RefSeq and is a predicted model, not a curated record. Lineage: Eukaryota; Metazoa; Arthropoda; Insecta; Diptera; Tephritidae.